GACGAACGCUGGCGGCGUGCUUAACACAUGCAAGUCGAACGGAAAGGCCCUGCUUGCAGGGUACUCGAGUGGCGAACGGGUGAGUAACACGUGGGUGAUCUGCCCUGCACUUCGGGAUAAGCCUGGGAAACUGGGUCUAAUACCGGAUAGGAGCCAUUUUUAGUGUGAUGGUUGGAAAGUUUUUUCGGUGUAGGAUGAGCUCGCGGCCUAUCAGCUUGUUGGUGGGGUAAUGGCCUACCAAGGCGGCGACGGGUAGCCGGCCUGCGAGGGUGGACGGCCACAUUGGGGCUGGGGUACGGCCCAGACUCCUACGGGAGGCAGCAGUGGGGAAUAUUGCACAAUGGGCGCAAGCCUGAUGCAGCGACGCCGCGGGGGGGAUGACGGCCUUCGGGUUGUAAACUCCUUUCGCUAGGGACGAAGCUUUUUGUGACGGUACCUAGAUAAGAAGCACCGGCUAACUACGUG
This 465-nucleotide ribosomal RNA is filed under the name uncultured bacterium. RNAcentral's name for it is "partial 16S ribosomal RNA". It matches the Rfam family "Bacterial small subunit ribosomal RNA", at positions 28 to 507 of the family's 1533-position model. The record is from RNAcentral.